Molecule: ribosomal RNA, 234 nt
Filed under: uncultured bacterium
Lineage: Bacteria
Description: partial 16S ribosomal RNA
Rfam family: Bacterial small subunit ribosomal RNA
Source: RNAcentral
CGGACGGGUGAGUAACGCGUGGGUAACCUGCCUCACACUGGGGGAUAACAGUUAGAAAUAGCUGCUAAUACCGCAUAAGCGCACAUUCCGCAUGGAACAGUGUGAAAAACUCCGGUGGUGUGAGAUGGACCCGCGUCUGAUUAGCCAGUUGGCGGGGUAACGGCCCACCAAAGCGACGAUCAGUAGCCGGCCUGAGAGGGUGAACGGCCACAUUGGGACUGAGACACGGCCCAA